RNAcentral lists this ribosomal RNA (795 nucleotides) under uncultured bacterium. Its description in RNAcentral is "bacterial SSU rRNA". It matches the Rfam family "Bacterial small subunit ribosomal RNA", at positions 27 to 857 of the family's 1533-position model. The record is from RNAcentral.
GGACGAACGCUGGCGGUGUGCCUAAUGCAUGCAAGUCGAACGCAUUCUUCGGAAUGAGUGGCGCACGGCUGAGGAACACGUGACUAACCUACCCCGGUGUGGGGGAUAACGGGUCGAAAGACUCGCUAAUCCCGCAUACGAUAUCCUUUGGAUAGGAAAGCCUUACGGCGCACUGGGCGGGGGUCGCGUCCCAUUAGAUGGUUGGUGUGGUAAUGGCGCACCAAGUCGAUGAUGGGUCUCUGGUCUGAGAGGACGACCAGACAGAUUGGGACUGAGACACGGCCCAAACUCCUACGGGGGGCAGCAGCAAGGAAUUUUCGGCAAUGGGCGCAAGCCUGACCGAGCAACGCCGCAUGGAGGAUGACGGCUCUUGGGUUGUAAACUCCUUUUGGGGGGGACGAUAAUGACGGUACCCUCCGAAUCAGGCCCGGCUAACUACGUGCCAGCAGCCGCGGUAAUACGUAGGGGCCAAGCGUUGUCCGGAAUUACUGGGCGUAAAGCGUGGGUAGGUGGUCGGUGAUGUGCCGCGUGAAAGCGCCGGAGUAAUGCCGGCGAGGUCGUGGUAGACACACGGACUAGAGGCUCGCAGAGGAACGUGGAAUUCCCGGUGUAGUGGUGAAAUGCGUAGAUAUCGGGAGGAACACCAGUGGCGCAAGCGGCGUUCUGGGCGAGACCUGACACUGAGCCACGACGGCGUGGGGAGCAAACAGGAUUAGAUACCCUGGUAGUCCACGCAGUAAACGAUGCAUACCAGGUGUGGGAUGGCGUUCGCGUCGUUCCGUGCCGCAGCUUACG